Schistocerca cancellata (South American locust) is the source of this 960-nucleotide long non-coding RNA. RefSeq lists it as uncharacterized. The transcript is spliced from 2 exons. NCBI's taxonomy places the organism in Eukaryota, Metazoa, Arthropoda, Insecta, Orthoptera, Acrididae. The record is from RefSeq and is a predicted model, not a curated record.
GACAUUCAAGAUGAUAAAAUGUGUAGCUUUAUUAGAAUACAAAACACAAACUGUUUCACUGUUUCGAAACAACGUGUCGGAACAUUACAUUGUACUGUUUCAUUUGUUUCGAAACAAUUACGUGUUUCAGUUUGCCCAUCUCUAAUUUGAACCAUUUUUUGAAGGACGACAUUUCAAAGUUCGCGGCGUCAAAGAGAAACAAUACAUUAGACAAACGAUAAACCACAGUCGGAAGCGCAUCAGAGACGUAACUUUGUACAGGGAAAUGUCAAAUGGGUGUGUCCAAGCUGCUGCGAAGUAACAGGACGUAGUAUUUGCAAACGAACAGGAGAAAACGAAAAUAAUAAUAUACCCACUGAGGAUGCUACAACUGAGGUGAACCAUGUUUGGGUGAUGAAGUAAAACAAUAAUUUGUGUGCUUACAAAAAGGUGAACUCAUCCUUAAUUCAUUAACAUUUUUUUGCAAAACACUGGAACUGAGUCCAAACUCAAAUAGGCCAAUGAUGUAAAUAGACUGUUGUAUUAUAGAAGCUGCAACUCUCAGGAAUACCUGCAAUACUACCUUUACGACAUACUUCUCCAGUUGGCCAACUCUUAAAGUUGCUGGGCAUAUAACUGAUGAACUGCAAGAGGAAAUUACCAACAAAUGAAGACUUCAAAGGAUGGUCUAUGGACAAGUAUUCCACAGGGGAUACUCAGGAUCCACUAUUUUAUGUCUAUUAAUAAUCUUGUGUUACAUAUAUAUUUAUUGUAAAUGGUGUCGAAAUAGCGGUAAGAAAAUGUGUCGAGUAGCAAGUAUAGACUGUUGGGUCAGGAGAACUAAGAAAACUGAAUCCCUUUCUCCAAAACCAGAUUUCACACAAUUAUGCCCAAAGUGAUACAAUGUAGUGGUAAAAUAUUGACAUAUUUUGUGAAAAUAUGUAUAACACUGUUGAAAAUAAAGAAUGAUAGCAGUCAUAA